RNAcentral lists this ribosomal RNA (439 nucleotides) under uncultured bacterium. Its description in RNAcentral is "bacterial SSU rRNA". It matches the Rfam family "Bacterial small subunit ribosomal RNA", at positions 954 to 1392 of the family's 1533-position model. The record is from RNAcentral.
GCACAACGCGAAGAACCUUACCCGGGUUUGAACGUAGGGAGACAGGGGUGGAAACAUCCUUUUCAGCAAUGACUGCCUACGAGGUGCUGCAUGGUUGUCGUCAGCUCGUGCCGUAAGGUGUCGGCUUAAGUGCCAUAACGAGCGCAACCCUUAUUUCCAGUUACUAACAGGUGAUGCUGAGGACUCUGGAGAGACUGCCAGCGUAAGCUGUGAGGAAGGUGGGGAUGACGUCAAAUCAGCACGGCCCUUACAUCCGGGGCGACACACGUGUUACAAUGGUAAGGACAAAGGGCAGCUACCGGGCGACCGGAUGCGAAUCUCUAAACCUUAUCUCAGUUCGGAUCGGAGUCUGCAACUCGACUCCGUGAAGCUGGAUUCGCUAGUAAUCGCGCAUCAGCCAUGGCGCGGUGAAUACGUUCCCCGGGUCUUGUACACACCG